GGAGAGGUGGGUGAGCGGCUGAAACCGACGGUUUGCUAAACCGUUGUAUUGGGUAUAACCUAGUACCGAGGGUUCGAAUCCCUCCCUCUCCG
Molecule: transfer RNA, 92 nt
Filed under: Elusimicrobia bacterium RIFCSPHIGHO2_02_FULL_57_9
Lineage: Bacteria; Pseudomonadati; Elusimicrobiota
Description: tRNA-Ser
Rfam family: tRNA
About the family: Transfer RNA (tRNA) molecules are approximately 80 nucleotides in length. Their secondary structure includes four short double-helical elements and three loops (D, anti-codon, and T loops).
Source: RNAcentral